This 460-nucleotide ribosomal RNA is filed under the name uncultured Gammaproteobacteria bacterium. Its description in RNAcentral is "bacterial SSU rRNA". It matches the Rfam family "Bacterial small subunit ribosomal RNA", at positions 43 to 494 of the family's 1533-position model. The record is from RNAcentral. Lineage: Bacteria; Pseudomonadati; Pseudomonadota; Gammaproteobacteria.
CAGGCCUAACACAUGCAAGUCGAGCGGAAACGAUCCUAGCUUGCUAGGAGGCGUCGAGCGGCGGACGGGUGAGUAACACGUGAGAAUCUGCCCAUUAGAGGGGGAUAACCUGGGGAAACCCAGGCUAAUACCGCAUAAUCCCUACGGGGGAUAGCAGGGGAUCUUCGGACCUUGUGCUGAUGGAUGAGCUCGCGUCGGAUUAGCUUGUUGGUGAGGUAAUGGCUCACCAAGGCGACGAUCCGUAGCUGGUCUUAGAGGAUGAUCAGCCACACCGGGACUGAGACACGGCCCGGACUCCUACGGGAGGCAGCAGUGGGGAAUCUUGGACAAUGGGGGCAACCCUGAUCCAGCCAUGCCGCGUGUGUGAAGAAGGCCUUCGGGUUGUAAAGCACUUUCAGUAGGGAGGAAGGCUUAUCCUUAAUACGGAUGAGUACUUGACGUUACCUACAGAAGAAGCACC